Molecule: ribosomal RNA, 374 nt
Filed under: uncultured organism
Description: bacterial SSU rRNA
Rfam family: Bacterial small subunit ribosomal RNA
Source: RNAcentral
CGAAGGGUGCAAGCGUUACUCGGAAUUACUGGGCGUAGAGCGUGCGUAGGUGGUGAGUUAAGUCUGUCGUGAAAGCCCCGGGCUCAACCUGGGAAUGGCGAUGGAUACUGGCUCGCUAGAGUGCGGUAGAGGGUGGUGGAAUUCCCGGUGUAGCAGUGAAAUGCGUAGAGAUCGGGAGGAACAUCAGUUGCGAAGGCGGCCACCUGGACCAGCACUGACACUGAGGCACGAAAGCGUGGGGAGCAAACAGGAUUAGAUACCCUGGUAGUCCACGCCCUAAACGAUGCGAACUGGACGUUGGGAGCAACUAGGCUCUUAGUGUCGAAGCUAAACGCGUUAAAGUUCGCCGCCUGGGGAGUACGGUCGCAAGACUG